AAAAGGAAGCGAUAUUGGUGAGGUUCAAUCCGAAGACGGAUCUUAUUAGAGGUACUGGAAUUAUUAUUGUAAGAUACGAUCUCAGAUUGAGCCGCGCCAAUAUCACUCUCUGCUAA
Non-coding RNA from Spinacia oleracea (spinach), 116 nucleotides. Lineage: Eukaryota; Viridiplantae; Streptophyta; Magnoliopsida; Caryophyllales; Amaranthaceae. The record is from Rfam.